GACGAACGCUGGCGGUGUGCUUAACACAUGCAAGUGGUGCGACGAACCAGAGCUUGCUCUGGGGCAAAGCCGCGAACGGGUGAGUAACACGUGGGUAAUCUACCCCGAUGACCGGGACAACCCGAGGAAACUCGGGCUAAUACCGGAUGUGGUGCGGAGACAUAAGUCUCUUCACUAAAGGUAGCUUCGGCUUCCGCAUUGGGAGGGGCCCGCGGCCCAUUAGCUUGUUGGUGGGGUCAAGGCCUACCAAGGCAACGAUGGGUAGCUGGUCUGAGAGGACGAGCAGCCACACUGGGACUGAGACCGGGCCCAGCCUCCGAGGGGAGGAGGAAGUGGGGAAUCUGGCGCAAGGGGCGAAGGCGUGACGCAGCAACACGGGGGGAGGGAAGAAGGCCUGGGGUUGGUAAACCUGUUUCAGGGGGGAGAAAGGUCCUCCGGGGAAGAGCGGAGGGGAUUGACGGUACCUAAAAAAGAAGCCCCGGCAAACUACGUG
Molecule: ribosomal RNA, 493 nt
Filed under: uncultured bacterium
Lineage: Bacteria
Description: partial 16S ribosomal RNA
Rfam family: Bacterial small subunit ribosomal RNA
Source: RNAcentral